AGAUCCUUAAGUUAAAUAAACUACCAUCCUUCAAAGAUGGAAUUUCCAAACCUUAGUAGGUGU
RNAcentral lists this transfer RNA (63 nucleotides) under Porcellionides pruinosus. RNAcentral's name for it is "tRNA-Trp". Lineage: Eukaryota; Metazoa; Arthropoda; Malacostraca; Isopoda; Porcellionidae. The record is from RNAcentral.